RNAcentral lists this ribosomal RNA (442 nucleotides) under uncultured bacterium. Its description in RNAcentral is "partial 16S ribosomal RNA". It matches the Rfam family "Bacterial small subunit ribosomal RNA", at positions 338 to 795 of the family's 1533-position model. The record is from RNAcentral.
CCUACGGGUGGCUGCAGUGGGGAAUAUUGGGCAAUGGAGGCAACUCUGACCCAGCAACGCCGCGUGAAUGAUGAAGGUCUUCGGAUUGUAAAGUUCUUUUCUAAGGGAAGAAGAAAGUGACGGUACCUUAGGAAUAAGCCUCGGCUAACUACGUGCCAGCAGCCGCGGUAAUACGUAGGAGGCAAGCGUUAUCCGGAAUGACUGGGCGUAAAGGGUGCGUAGGCGGCGGCACAAGUCAGCGGUAAAAUCGCGGGGCUCAACCCCGCUCCGCCGUUGAAACUGUGUCCCUUGAGUGCGCGAAGGGGAGGCGGAAUGCGUGGUGUAGCGGUGAAAUGCAUAGAUAUCACGCAGAACUCCGAUCGCGAAGGCAGCCUACCGGCGCGCAACUGACGCUCAUGCACGAAAGCGUGGGUAUCGAACAGGAUUAGAUACCCUUGUAGUC